GCGGCCACCGCUAUCAAGUUCCGACUAAGCCAUGCGAGUCAAGGUAUCGUAAGAUGCCGGCAAACUGCUCAGUAACACGUGGAUAAUCUAACCUUGAGUAAGGGAUAACCUCGGGAAACUGAGGAUAAUACCUUAUAAUUGCUUAAAACUGGAAUGUUUAAGCAAUAAAAGUUCCGACGCUCAAGGAUGAGUCUGCGACCUAUCAGGUAGUAGGUGGUGUAAUGGACCACCUAGCCUCAGACGGGUACGGGCCCUGGGAGGGGUAGCCCGGAGAUGGACUCUGAGACAUCAGUCCAGGCCCUACGGGGCGCAGCAGGCGCGAACACUGUGCAAUGCGCGAAAGCGCGACACGGGGAGCUUGAGUGUCUUGGCAUAGCCAAGACUUUUCUCAUUCCUAAAAAGCAUGAGGAAUAAGUGCUGGGUAAGACGGGUGCCAGCCGCCGCGGUAACACCCGCAGCACAAGUGGUGGUCACUUUUAUUGAGCCUAAAGCGUUCGUAGCCGGUUUUGUAAAUCUUUAGAUAAAGCCUGAAGCUUAACUCCAGAAAGUCUGAAGAGACUGCAAGACUUGAGAUCGGGUGAGGUUAAACGUACUUUCAGGGUAGGGGUAAAAUCCUGUAAUCCCGGAAGGACGACCAGUGGCGAAAGCGUUUAACUAGAACGAAUCUGACGGUAAGGAACGAAGGCUAGGGUAGCAAACCGGAUUAGAUACCCGGGUAGUCCUAGCUGUAAACACUGCCCAUUUGAUGUUGCUUUUCCGUUGAGGGAAGGCAGUGUCGGAGCGAAGGUGUUAAAUGGGCCGCUUGGGAAGUAUGGUCGCAAGACUGAAACUUAA
This 834-nucleotide ribosomal RNA is filed under the name archaeon enrichment culture. Its description in RNAcentral is "bacterial SSU rRNA". It matches the Rfam family "Archaeal small subunit ribosomal RNA", at positions 20 to 859 of the family's 1478-position model. The record is from RNAcentral.